CACCGGCGGCUCGAGUGGUGGCCACUUUUAUUGGGUCUAAAGCGUCCGUAGCCGGCUUGGCAAGUCCCCUGGGAAAUCUGGCGGCUUAACCGUCAGGCGUCCAGAGGAUACUGCCAGGCUUGGGACCGGGAGAGGUGAGAGGUACCUCAGGGGUAGGGGUGAAAUCUUGUGAUCCCUGAGUGACCACCAGUGGCGAAGGCGUCUCACUAGAACGGGUCCGACGGUCAGGGACGAAAGCUGGGGGCACGAACCGG
RNAcentral lists this ribosomal RNA (254 nucleotides) under uncultured microorganism. Its description in RNAcentral is "partial 16S ribosomal RNA". It matches the Rfam family "Archaeal small subunit ribosomal RNA", at positions 474 to 727 of the family's 1478-position model. The record is from RNAcentral.